This 733-nucleotide unclassified non-coding RNA is filed under the name Hevea brasiliensis (rubber tree). Lineage: Eukaryota; Viridiplantae; Streptophyta; Magnoliopsida; Malpighiales; Euphorbiaceae. The record is from RNAcentral.
AGAUAGUAGAUUUUCAUUAAAAAAACAGGCCUUAACGGGCCAAUACAAAGGUUUUACAACAAAGGCUCAAACCCCAACAUAGAGGGUUAUUGGUUAAUAGAAAAUAAGAGCCUAGAUAUCUAAUCCAACCCAAUAAUCAAACCCAAACCCAUAGCAGAAAACCUAGUUAAAUAGGGUUGCUCCCACAAUCUGUAUUCCUGAAGCAACCCAAAAACGAAGCUGCAGCCCAAUCCUUCACUGCAGGAAGCAUCCUGAGUUCCGACGGGGGGCAACUCUAUAGACUAAAGCACAAUGACAAGUGAUUAUGCAUGGCGAGAUUGUCCAAACUAGAACACCCUUGGCUCAAUAAUAACCAAGAUUCAAGCAGCCAACCUAAGCUUCAAUAAUAGGAUUGCAAGUACAGUGGCCAUGGAAGACAAGACCAAAUGCUCAUUGAGAUAGAAUAGUGGAAGAAGAAACAAUGUACAGUGGCUUCUCAAUCUCCUUUAGUCCAAAGGGGGAAGCCUUGGAAGUGAGCUUACACUUAUACUCUCAAUAUUCCCCUUCCACCAUACCCAGCAAACGAAGAACAACACUCCAACGUUGAAGUAAUAACCUUUCUCAGAGAACAAGCUCAACAGAAUCACCACCCGCGGAUCCAGAAAUAAACCCUUUCCAAAUCUCAUACUUUAAUUAGCAACGAAAGCAAACAAAUUUAUUGAUCUAUAAGACUCCACUCGAAGGUGUGGAGGAG